This 226-nucleotide unclassified non-coding RNA is filed under the name plant metagenome. RNAcentral's name for it is "partial contains small subunit ribosomal RNA and internal transcribed spacer 1". The stretch from base 1 to 46 matches the Rfam family "Eukaryotic small subunit ribosomal RNA", at positions 1786 to 1831 of the family's 1831-position model. The record is from RNAcentral.
AAGUCGUAACAAGGUUUCCGUAGGUGAACCUGCGGAAGGAUCAUUAGAAAGUCCGUCCGGCGGAAACGCCGGCCUACCUUCAAACCACUGUGAAACCACCCGUUGCUUCGCGGCGUGCCUGCGGGAGGGGACCACCCCCCCGCCGCGCUGUCAGUCCGCAGAAGCCCAAACCAAAAACCACUUCGUAACAGUCUGUCUGAACACUAUGAAUUAAAAUUCGUUAAAA